ACUCAGGGGCUUCGCCACUGAUUGUCCAAACGCAAUUCUUGUACGAGUCUGCGGCCAACCGAGAAUUGUGGCUGGACAUCUGUGGUUGAGCUCC
This 94-nucleotide microRNA precursor is filed under the name Meriones unguiculatus (Mongolian gerbil). Its description in RNAcentral is "miRNA (ENSMUGG00000006651.1)". The stretch from base 11 to 89 matches the Rfam family "mir-219 microRNA precursor family". Rfam says of the family: The hairpin precursors (represented here) are predicted based on base pairing and cross-species conservation -- their extents are not known. Lineage: Eukaryota; Metazoa; Chordata; Mammalia; Rodentia; Muridae. The record is from RNAcentral.